RNAcentral lists this ribosomal RNA (497 nucleotides) under uncultured bacterium. RNAcentral describes it as "partial 16S ribosomal RNA". It matches the Rfam family "Bacterial small subunit ribosomal RNA", at positions 28 to 507 of the family's 1533-position model. The record is from RNAcentral.
GAUGAACGCUGGCGGCGUGCCUAAUACAUGCAAGUCGAGCGAACAGAUAAGGAGCUUGCUCCUUUGACGUUAGCGGCGGACGGGUGAGUAACACGUGGGUAACCUACCUAUAAGACUGGAAUAACUCCGGGAAACCGGGGCUAAUGCCGGAUAACAUUUAGAACCGCAUGGUUCUAAAGUGAAAGAUGGUUUUGCUAUCACUUAUAGAUGGACCCGCGCCGUAUUAGCUAGUUGGUAAGGUAACGGCUUGCCAAGGCAACGAUACGUAGCCGACCUGAGAGGGUGAUCGGCCACACUGGAACUGGGACACGGUCCAGACUCCUACGGGAGGCAGCAGUAGGGAAUCUUCCGCAAUGGGCGAAAGCCUGACGGAGCAACGCCGCGUGAGUGAUGAAGGUCUUCGGAUCGUAAAACUCUGUUAUUAGGGAAGAACAAAUGUGUAAGUAACUGUGCACGUCUUGACGGUACCUAAUCAGAAAGCCACGGCUAACUACGUG